Molecule: transfer RNA, 89 nt
Filed under: Aspergillus sydowii CBS 593.65
Lineage: Eukaryota; Fungi; Ascomycota; Eurotiomycetes; Eurotiales; Aspergillaceae
Description: tRNA-Thr
Source: RNAcentral
GCCCGCCUGGUGUAAUGGUAACAUGCCUCUUGGGUGCGACUUGCCGUAAGGGCCAGAGGAGUUCCGGGUUCGACUCCCUGGAGCGGGUA